ACAGGAACACAACCCGUGGAUGGCACUUCCCAAGGAGAUACACACACCAGAUGGAUGCCUUCCUGGCCGGUCCGGGACCAGCAGACCGCGGCAUCAUCACCACCAAGUCAGCGAGGAUAUGCAACCAAUCACCUUAAAGCUAGACUCGAGGCGACGGUAGCGUCACAUCCUGUUACACCUGCGCACUCAAUUAAGAGUUAAUUAGAGUCAAUCAGCAGCUGGGACAUGGCGACUGGUAACAACCCUCCAAGUGAAGGGGCUUUCGUCUCAAGCCGAGGCAGCAGAACGGACUUUUGUGCAGCAGAUGGUUAGGGGGCUGUCCCCGUCCCCAACCGCAUCUCUUGAAGUGAGCGGAGAGCACAGCAGUUAGGGCUGGAGCCCGCCAGCGUCAUCACUACGGUGCCUCCCAAUACCAAUACUAGUUCGAGGCAAGCCACGUGCAGGCUGCUGCUUCCCUCACCAUUCACACACCAACCUGUUCAUGCCAGGAAGGUUACCCCAGAAGUAGCGGGCGCGGUGGGCAGCGGACACUUCCUUGGCAUCGAUCAUCACCGGGUUGCACUGAAAUCAAAGUAAAGCAGAGGAGAAGAUAUCGGUGAGCUGGCCUGGGAACACUCCAGCGCCCGUGGUCUGUGCAAAUGAUAAUUCUCCAUGACAUCCUGCUCAGCAGCGACUGCCUCCUGUGGGCUAAUGACACCGACAGAGAGCUGCAAAGGAAGCACUUAAUGAUGAGGGACACAGAGCACAUUACAGCUGGCCAAUGAGUGAGGAGCGCCGGGUGACCCGAAGAGCCUCGGACCAGGCGCCCCAGACAUGCCUGGAUCACAUGCAUGUUCGCUGACCAGCAGAGCGAGAGGAAACCACCUACCCUCAGGACGUCUACACACAGGCAGGAUUUCUCUCUUAUUAUUUUUUGCAUUGCUUGUUUCUUCUCACGGUGAUCUCUACUGUUAUGACAGAGCCUCUUUCCAGUCACUAACUUACUACUGUGGCGUGUGUUGAGUGGUUUUUAUUGCUGCUUACAGGCACCAGCAAGGCUCUCUUUAAAGGAGCCCGUCCACUGAAAUGCAGUCGAGCAUUAUUUCAUUUUUAUUUAAAACAAUGAAUAUUAUAAUCAGGGUUACAACUAAUGUUUACUUUAAAGACCAGUGUGUAGCAUUUCAGGGGAUCUAUUAGCAGAAAUAGAAUAUGAUAUUCAUAAUUAUGUUUUUAUUA
This is a long non-coding RNA of Sebastes umbrosus (honeycomb rockfish), 1215 nucleotides long. RefSeq lists it as uncharacterized. The record is from RefSeq and is a predicted model, not a curated record. Lineage: Eukaryota; Metazoa; Chordata; Actinopteri; Perciformes; Sebastidae. The transcript is spliced from 5 exons.